This 4995-nucleotide long non-coding RNA is filed under the name Marmota monax (woodchuck). The record is from RNAcentral. Lineage: Eukaryota; Metazoa; Chordata; Mammalia; Rodentia; Sciuridae.
CUUGACUGUGGAUCCAGGCAAUUUUGUGCCUUCAAUGUAUAAAAAAAGUAUAUAUAUUAUCAUUCAAAAUCUUUUGGAUUUUUUCCCCCAAGGCAUGGGGCAUAGGUAAUGAGUAUUUUGCUGAAUGUCUUGACUCUCCUCCAUCCUCAACCAUCAGAUUUUGUAUAUUAGGUACUACUCAUUUGUCACCUAACAAAAUGUUCACAAUUGUUUGCUUCUGCCUUUAUAAGCUCCUUUAGGCAGGGACCAUGUUUGUUUUUCUUUUAUUCUCUCUCAGCCUUUUGCCUAUAGGAAGAAUUCAAAUAUUUGUUGGUAAGUAAUCCGAGAGCCCAUCUAUCCUGAUCAUCAAAAAUAAAGAAAAAUAAUCCCUGCCAGUCCCUAGAUAAUGCUCACAUGCAUUUAGAUCUGUGGAUAUGAUCCUACUGAUGCCCGACUGGGAAGGAAUUUGGGCCUCACAUGCAGGUGCAGCAGAAUGCCCAAGGGAACAUUCUCAUGUUGCACACUUAUGUUCUGCUCAUCUGGGAACUGAAAGGAGCAUGUAGGAGAGAAGGAAAUGUCACUCAACCCUGUUAAUGGCAUCCCUUCCUUCCCUGGUCCUCCUACAUUUGAGUGCUUGCUGUGCACCAGACAAUUCUAGGGGCUGGCAGUCAGUCAUGAACAGACAGAAGCCUUCACCUGAUAUACCUUUAAGGUCUACUGGGAGAAAUGACAAGUAAAAUAUAUGGAAUCUUAAUAAGAAGUGCUGAAGAAAAAAAUAAAUUUUAUUUGAUGUUUCUCUGAUAGCACACACUGAUGUUCCUAGCUACUCAGGAGGCUGAGCCAAGAGGAUUACAAGUUUGAGGCCAGUCUCCACAACUUAGCAAGACCUUGUCUCAAAAAUAAAAAAAGGGGUGGGGAUUUCACUCAAGAGUGCCCCUAGGUUCAAUCCCUAGUACUGCCCAAGGGGAAAAAAGUGAUACAAAUGAAAAGAGUAAGACAAUUUAAAUUAAUACAGUUAAUUUGAAAACAACACAAAACAAUGAAAGGCAUAUAACAUCAAAAUAGCUCCCACUUUACCCCUUCAUUCCUCCCUAAUAUGUACCUUUCUAAUUGUUCAUACAAAUAUGUAUACAUAAUUAUUACAUUAGGGGUUUUAUCUGUCUUAUUCUACGUAUUACUCUACAGCUUGCUUUUUUAAAAAUUUAAUGUUCAUCAUGAGCAUUAUACAUACAUAUAUAUGUAUGUAUAAGUCUGCAUAUAUGUCACUUCCAUUUUUUAGCACAUACACAAUCUAGAUAAUCUAGAUAAUUUUUAGUGGGCCAUGUGCUAUAAAUAAAUAGAAUUAUAUAUUCUCUGAAUCUCACUUCUCCUUCAACAAUCUAUAAUGGUAAUCCUUCUAAGUCUUAUAGUUCUUAUUUUGUUCUUUUUAAUAGUUGUAUAUUACUCUAUUGUGAUGACAUACCAUGAUUUAUCAUACCUCUUCCAGAUUAAUGGGUAUUUCCUUUGUUACUAGGUUUUUACUAUUAUAAUAAGCAUUUCUGUGUAUAUAUAUAUUUGUGAUUGUGAUGGUUUUACUUCUGAGGAGUACAUUCCCUGGAGUAGAAUGCUGGAUUCAAGGAUAUGUAUAUUUAAAUUUUAAUUCAUGUUGACAGAUUGUUUCCUAAAAAGGCUGGAAAGAUUUAUAUUUCUAUCAAUAAAUGCGUAAAAAACACUUUUCCCUUUAUACCUACUGGCAAUAGAUACCAUAACACUUAAAAGAAGAAGAAAAAGAAAAACCCUAAGCCUGGUGAGUGUAGUGAUUUCUCAGUGUUAUUUUAAUUUCCACUUUCUUGGCUACUAUAAAUCUAGAUAUCUUUCCAUGUUACUUGAUCAUUUGGAUUGUCUCAUGAGUGAGUAGUGUUCUGUGACCACAUAACAAAUUACCACAAAUUUGGGCCUUAAAACAUAACCAUUUGUUAUCUCAAAAUGCUGUAGGUUAGAACUUCAGGUGGAUUCCAUUGAGCUCUCUGCUCAGGUCCCAGCAGGGCUGAAACGAAGGUAUUUGCCAGAGUGGACUCUUACCUGAAAGCUUUGGUGAAGAAUUCACUUCCAAGCUCCUUAAGGUUGUAGGAUGGAGGUUAUCUUUAUGUUGGCUGUCAGUCAGCUCCUGGGAUUAUGCUCUGGUCCUUAAGUGUAGUUCCUUCAAUUAGUUAGCAAGGGUUUAUCAAAUCUUUGCAUACUUUGACUGUUUUCUUUUCUGCUACCAGCCAGAGAAAACGCUUUGCUUUUAAAAAGGCUCUUGUGACUUGGUUAGGCACACCCAGAUAUGUGAAGAUUGACUCAUUAGUAACCUUAGUUAUGUCUGCGGAGUCCCCUUGCCCUGUAAUGUGGCAUCGUCAUGGAAGGAACACCAGGGUUAAAGUUCAUGGGAGCCAUCUGAGACUUUUGCCUACCACAAUAUUCAUAUUUAUACCUGUACGUUUAUUUCUCAUUUUUAUUCUUUUUUUGUUCCCCUUGUGGGUUUUUUUUUUUUAAUUUAACUGGUUUAUAAGAGCUUUUUCAUGUUAUGUAUGUUAAAGCUUUUUUUCUCUUGGUCGCAAAUAUUCUCCAACUCUUUAUUAACCACCUUAACGGGUACCUUUUCCGUAUAGCAUUUACCCACUUGCAGUUCUCUCUUAAAUGAAUUGCAUAUUUGCAUGUUUAAAUUUACAUUCUAAAUUUUUAUUAAUUUUAAUUUUUGUCAUUUUGUUAGCAUUUUUCCCAUGUUUCACUUUUUUUAAUUUAUAAGUACUCUUUUUGUAUAUGUAAACCUCUUUUAUUAUUUGCUAUUUUUUCUCCAACUCUAUAUAAUAUUUCUGUUGACUGUAUUUAUGACACCUUCUGCCAUUCAAAACUUUAUAUUAGUAUAUAAGCAUAUUAAUAUUGUUUUAUAUUGUAUAAGUAUUUACAAUAACUUGUAAACUCUUAAAGUACUCUGUAAUAAGUUCUCCGCUCAUGAGUAUCAUGUGUAGUCAACUAGAAUGGAUCUGUAGUUUUUGGUUUGGGGAGAAUCUUUUUGUUAUUGAUUUUCUACAAUUAAGUCUUUACUGCAUUUGAUUUUUCAUGUUUGUAAAAUGUAAGCAAUAGAUCUAAUUUUUAUUUUUCCCAAGUAGGUUGCCAGUCCAGCACCCUUUCUUAAAUGAAACUCUUCCCAAUGAAAUGCUGACUUUUUCAUAUGUGAAAGUUUCAUAUACAAUGAGAUUUAUUUCUCAAUAUGCUUCACUUACACUUUUUAUAUGGCAAUUUCAUAUGGAUUCAGUUACAGUGGUUUUAUAAUAUGGUUUCAUAAUAUGGUAAAGCAGAACUUUUUUCAUCUCACUCUCUGCUGUGUUUUUUUUUUUUUUGAAUACUGGGGUUGAACCAAGGGACACUCUACUACUGAGCUUCUCCCCCGCCCCCAAUCCUUUUUAUUUUUUAGUUUGAGUCUUGCUGAGAGUCACUAAAUUGCUGAGGCUGGCCUUGAAUUUACAAUCCUCUUGCCUCAGCCUCCCAAGUUGCUGGGAUUACAGGUCUGAGCCACCACACCCAGUCCCUGCUAUUCUUUUUACUGCCUUUCUUGUCUGUUCUCAAGCAUUUGAAAUUUGUGACAUAUUAAUCCCAAUUUUACCCAAUCAGGGGCUGAAAGUUAAUUUUGGGAAGUUUGACAUGAUAUUGUCAUCCCAUCUAAGAACAUCUUAUUUUGUUCAGAUCUUAUUAAUAACAUAUCUUAUCAAUAUCUCAAAUUAAGAUUUGAAUUUUCUUCAUUAAGUUCUGUCUUAUUAAAUUUAUGACUGUUGACCUUUUGGUCAUUAUUAUGAGUGAUUUUUUUUUCUCAUUUCUAAGAUCUUAGAACAAAGAGAAAACCUAUUGUUUUGUAUACUUAUAUUCAAUAAAUUUAUUAUAUAUUGUUUACUAAAUCUUCUCAUUAAUUCUAGCAGGUUUUUUUUUUUACUAGAGUCUCCUGGGAGUUUUAGAUAUAUAAUUCUGACAUUGACAAAAAUAAUUUUAUCUUGUCUUUUCUAAUGUUUGACAAAUUCUCUCCUUUUCUGAAAUCUUAAUUGUCUAGAAACUCCAACCAAAUAUUGAGUGAUAAUGGUGACAGACAUUAUUGUCUUUUACUGACUUUAGUUGAAAUGCUUUGAGUAUUUUAUUAUUUAGGAUAUUUGUGUUGCUCCUUAUUAAGUAAUCUUUGUCUAAUUUAAAUCAUUUUUUUCCCAUUUUGCCAAGAUAUUUUAUUAGGAAUGGCCACUGAAUUUCAUCCAAUUACUUAUCAGCAUCUUUAGAGCUGAUCAAAAUUGCUGACUUGCUAAAUUAUAUGUAUAAAUUCUGCCAUUAUAAUAUCCUUGCCUCCUUGGAAUAAAGCCUUUUUGUCAUAAUGUGUUAGACUUUUCUUUAAAAUCUAUGUUUCAGUUACUGAUCUUUUUUAUUUAGAACUUUAGAUGCAUAUGCAUAAGUGAUAUUAAUCUAGUUUUCUUCAGUGAACUGUUUUAUUAGAUACAAAAAUUACACAGUUUGGCAAGGAUGUGAGAGUAACCAGAGGACUCUCACUGCAGAUCAGGGUGUAGAUUGAUGCAAACAUGUUUGAAAACAAUUUGGCAGAUUUUACUAAAGACAAAAAUAUUCAUACCAUGAAAUCUAGUAAUUCUUCCCCUGGGUGUAUACCCAAUAAAAUGCAAACAUAUGUUCACUAAAAUUUAUGUGCCAGAAUGUUUGUAGCAAUACUGUUUGUAAUAGCCUCAAUUCAAAAACUACCCAAAAGUCCGUUAACUGUAGAAUGAAUACAUUUUUUUUUUUAAAAGAGAGAGUGGGGCGGGGAGAGAGAGAGUGUAUUGUGUAUUUCCAGACAGGCCAUCAUUAUCUUGAUAAAGAACCAUUUGUAUCUGUAGUUCCUAAGAGGGCAUUGUAGCAUUUCAGGUGGGACAGUUCUUUGUCAUGUAGGGUUGAUUCGUGCAUUUUGGUUUGCCUUUGUGUCUCUUGGGUUUAUCACAGUUUGUUGCUCACCCUCUUUUUCCUCUGCUU